GAGCCCCGCGGUGGCGAGAGCCGCUCCCGGGCCGGCGCCGGGGACACCUGCCGGCCGCGGGUCCCGCAGCCCCGGCCCGGCCCCCGCCGGGGCUGGCUUUUUCUGGAAACAUGACAGCCGGCCUCGGGGAGCCGGGAAGCCGGGGGGGAGGGGGCUGCCCGGCAGGACGCGAAGGCGCGACGUGGCGACGGUCGCUAAGGGAGUGACAACAGAGCGAUCAACAGAGGGGCUGGUGCGCGGGGAGGUGCGAGCCCCGGGCGUUUAUAGCCGCCCCUCGAUGCCCGCCAGCCCCGCUGGCCGCCGCGCACGGAAAUAGCUGUGCCCGGCGAACCACCGCUCCGCAACCGCGCACGGCAGAAAUAUUAAGACUGGUCUGAAGAACGUAUGGACAGAAAUGACUAUCAGUAAAAGCAACACAAAGGGCAAUAGAGCAAAGUUAAGAAAAAACCUGAAACAUUUUGAUAACCAUGGACACAUUGACAACAAACAAACAGCAGCAAGAUACAAAUAUGACUACCAAUGGCAACUGGCGGUGGCAAGCACUGCUUGAGGAGCGUUUCAGAACUUCUUACACCCUACCAGAAGAGCAAAAGUCUGCCCAGAAGUAUAAAGAUUAAAAUGAACUGGGAACUAAUGUAAAACAGUAAUUCAGCUAAUAGACUUCUAUUUGUAGGAAGAAUGAGAUGCUGCAAACAACAGGCCUUAACAGCAAUGGCCCAACAUUGAAGGACCUGACUCGCCUUCAACUACAACAGGACUGCUAAGGCAAUCAACACACACUGUGAAGAGCACAUGAUCACACAUGAACUUAUUUAUGUUACUUCUUCUUCCUCUUUUCUUAAAAAGCACUUUACAUCUCACUAAAAUUCUAAUUGUCCUACUGAAA
Long non-coding RNA from Pseudopipra pipra, 886 nucleotides. RefSeq lists it as uncharacterized. NCBI's taxonomy places the organism in Eukaryota, Metazoa, Chordata, Aves, Passeriformes, Pipridae. The record is from RefSeq and is a predicted model, not a curated record. The transcript has 4 exons.